Molecule: ribosomal RNA, 279 nt
Filed under: uncultured bacterium
Lineage: Bacteria
Description: partial 16S ribosomal RNA
Rfam family: Bacterial small subunit ribosomal RNA
Source: RNAcentral
UGCCAGCCGCCGCGGUAAUACGGAGGGUGCAAGCGUUAUCCGGAAUCACUGGGUUUAAAGGGUGCGUAGGUGGUUUAGUAAGUCAGAUGUGAAAGCCCGGCGCUCAACGUCGGAAUUGCAUUUGAUACUGCUGAACUUGAAUCAGGUUGAGGUGGGCGGAAUGUGGCAUGUAGCGGUGAAAUGCAUAGAUAUGCCAUAGAACACCAAUUGCGAAGGCAGCUCACUGGCCCUGAAUUGACACUGAGGCACGAAAGCGUGGGGAGCGAACAGGAUUAGAUA